RNAcentral lists this ribosomal RNA (230 nucleotides) under uncultured bacterium. Its description in RNAcentral is "partial 16S ribosomal RNA". It matches the Rfam family "Bacterial small subunit ribosomal RNA", at positions 562 to 791 of the family's 1533-position model. The record is from RNAcentral.
AAAGCGUGCGCAGGCGGUUAUGCAAGACAGAUGUGAAAUCCCCGGGCUCAACCUGGGAACUGCAUUUGUGACUGCAUGGCUAGAGUACGGUAGAGGGGGAUGGAAUUCCGCGUGUAGCAGUGAAAUGCGUAGAUAUGCGGAGGAACACCGAUGGCGAAGGCAAUCCCCUGGACCUGUACUGACGCUCAUGCACGAAAGCGUGGGGAGCAAACAGGAUUAGAUACCCGUGU